Lolium rigidum is the source of this 1486-nucleotide long non-coding RNA. RefSeq lists it as uncharacterized. The transcript is spliced from 3 exons. Lineage: Eukaryota; Viridiplantae; Streptophyta; Magnoliopsida; Poales; Poaceae. The record is from RefSeq and is a predicted model, not a curated record.
AGUGUCGCGCCGCCCGGACGACGAGCUCGAUACCUACAUGUUCUUCUUCACCCAUGCCAACUGGCGUGGGUAUGUGUGGAAGGCAAACGCCUGGGCCAUGGCGGUGCUGUACUUGGGGGAGAAACCAUUGAAGAUUGGGACGAAGGUAAAAUACGAUAUUUUUCUCUCACUCAGAAGUGUGUACACAUGUAAUAAUCUUCUGUACAUCCUUUAGGAUAAAUUGGAGGUAGGUAAAAGCUUUAUAUGAACACUUUAGUAAUGGUCUGAUAUAUACUCUGUAAGUGGUUGAGUACACUGUUUGUACAUCCCAUCAGCCAUGACACCCACAUGAACCCCGUGUGCCAAACCAAUCUAUACCACCGCCAACCAAUCUGUACCACCUCCGUGUAAUUCGUAUGGUGUGCAAUCCUUCACAAAUAGUCAAAGCCGGUAUACAUGUGAAGAACAGUGGUGACUAACAUCUGGUGACCUCAGUCCAGAUGAUCAACAUACGUGGUUUCCAGGUGGCAGAUAAUUAUCUUGCUCAGAUGAAUCAUUAUUCCAGAAGCAAUUGGCUCAAAUUAAAUCAUAAGGUAGUGUUGUGGUAAGUAGCUGUUCUAAAAAAUCUAAAAAAUAUAUCAAUGUCAACUAAGAAUACCAUUGAAAGAUAUUAUUUAUGACUCUUUUUUACAUUUUACUCAUUUGUUGUGUUCACCCCUUCGGUACAUUUCUAGAACUGAUUCUGUAGCAGCUUUAACUACUUACUAUGCAUUGAUGCAGGUCAGAGGAAGAGGGAGCUUGAGCAUUUAUUUUGUGUUCUUUUGCUGCUAGAAGGUUGCCUGAACGAUGGAUGGCCCAUACAUUUGCAAUGACACCUGUCAUUGAAAAUUUGAACUGCUAACCGUAACUUCUUCAUGUAGGAUAGCAUUUAUGUCACAUCUUUCCGAUGUCUUGAAGGUUGUAAUCUCACCAUCCCGGUUAAACUGUUCAAAUUUUUCCCAGUGGUGCCAUAUUUUGCAUAGCAACCAACAUUGUUGAAGGCCCAUCCAUUGCAAUUCAGAGUCUACACUGCCCGAGUGCCUAUCCAUUGCAAGCCUACACAAUUAGAGCGCAAAGAAUAUCGACAAAAUAGUUAUUACCUGCAUGGAUGAUGUCAGCUCUGCAUCUGAAAAUAACAGGAGGAAGGCCAAUGCAUUAGCUUCCGCAUCAGCCAAGAAACAAGUCAAGAAAGCGCUCUUCCCACAGAAAUAAGGAUCAUGCCACUUGCCGGUAAAGCAUGAACUUCAAACCGUGGUUAGCCCUGGACAGUGCUAUUAUCAGCAGUGUGCUAAUAUAAUUUUACCUUCUUUUAUGUUCUCUCACGGCGACAGAGGUUCAGGUUUGUAAACGGUUCAGACGAACAUGAAAACCGCUAGCAAGGAGAGAAGAUAGGACCAGUGAAAAAUUUGUCGGUUAGGACCAAUAAUUUUAAUAUUAUGGAACUACCAGCUACCUUAAUUAGACUGCU